RNAcentral lists this non-coding RNA (30 nucleotides) under Mus musculus (house mouse). Lineage: Eukaryota; Metazoa; Chordata; Mammalia; Rodentia; Muridae. The record is from RNAcentral.
UGAGACCCUCCAGAGAGCCACUUGUCACAU